Molecule: ribosomal RNA, 1325 nt
Filed under: metagenome
Description: bacterial LSU rRNA
Rfam family: Bacterial large subunit ribosomal RNA
Source: RNAcentral
AGUGGAUGGGGAGCAACCUAGUUGUGCGUGUGUAAAGGUAGUGCCAAGAAAAGCGAUGAUCAUGUUGAAAAUCAAUUCCCGGUACCCGAAACCGACACAGGUGGGCAAGUAGAGAAUACUAAGGGGCGCGAGGUAACUCUCUCCAAGGAACUCGGCAAAAUGACCCCGUAACUUAGGGAGAAGGGGUGCCACCGAGAGGUGGUCGCAGUGAAGAGGCCCAGGCGACUGUUUAGCGAAAACAUAGAUCUCUGCAAACUCGAAAGAGGAGGUAUAGGGGCUGACGCCUGCCCAGUGCCGGAAGGUUAAAGAAGUUGGUCAGUCUUAGGAUGAAGCUAGCGACUGAAGCCCCGGUGAACGGCGGCCGUAACUAUAACGGUCCUAAGGUAGCGAAAUUCCUUGUCGGGUAAGUUCCGACCCGCACGAAAGGCGUAACGAUCUGGGCGCUGUCUCGGAGAGAGGCUCGGCGAAAUAGGAUUGUCUGUGAAGAUACGGACUACCUGCAUUUGGACAGAAAGACCCUAUGAAGCUUUACUAUAGCUUGGAAUUGUGUUCGGGCUUCCUGUGCGCAGGAUAGGUGGGAGGCGUAGAAGGUAUUCUUGUGGGGAUACUGGAGCCAACGGUGAGAUACCACUCUCAGGAGGCUAGAAUUCUAACUUAAUUAAGGACAGUUUCAGGUGGGUAGUUUGACUGGGGCGGUCGCCUCCAAAAAGGUAACGGAGGCGUACAAAGGUUCCCUCAGACUGGUUGGAAAUCAGUCGAAGAGUGCAAAGGCAGAAGGGAGCUUGACUGCGAGAAGUACAGUUCGAGCAGGGUGGAAACACGGUCUUAGUGAUCCGACGGUGCUGUGUGGAAGGGCCGUCGCUCAACGGAUAAAAGUUACUCUAGGAUAACAGGCUGAUCUCCCCCAAGAGUUCACAUCGACGGGGAGGUUUGGCACCUCGAUGUCGGCUCAUCGCAACCUGGGGCGGAAGUACGUCCCAAGGGUUGGGCUGUUCGCCCAUUAAAGCGGUACGUGAGCUGGGUUCAGAACGUCGUGAGACAGUUCGGUCCAUAUCCGAUGUAGGCGUGAGAAUAUUGAGAGGAGCCUUCCUUAGUACGAGAGGACCGGGAAGGACGCACCGCUGGUGUACCUGUUAUGAUGCCAAUUGUAAACGCAGGGUAGCCAAGUGCGGAGAGGAUAACCGCUGAAAGCAUCUAAGUGGGAAGCCCACCUCAAGAUGAGUAUUCUGGUGUAAGGUCACGGGAAGACGACCCGUAAAUAGGCACGAGGUGGAAGUGCAGAGAUGUAUGAAGCCGAAGUGUACUAAUAGACCGUCGUCUUGACC